Molecule: ribosomal RNA, 1025 nt
Filed under: Mortierella alpina
Lineage: Eukaryota; Fungi; Mortierellomycota; Mortierellomycetes; Mortierellales; Mortierellaceae
Description: eukaryotic LSU rRNA
Rfam family: Eukaryotic large subunit ribosomal RNA (bases 573-1025)
Source: RNAcentral
GUUUUUAUGGCCUUUCAAAAUCCAUAUCCACCUUGUGUGCAAUGUCAUCUCACUGGAGGUCAACGGCUGUAAAAAUCCGUUUGGUCACCUUUGGGAUUUAUAUCUACUCAGAACUUUAGUGAUUUUGUCUGAAACAUAUUAUGAAUACUUAAUUCAAAAUACAACUUUCAACAACGGAUCUCUUGGCUCUCGCAUCGAUGAAGAACGCAGCGAAAUGCGAUACGUAAUGUGAAUUGCAGAAUUCAGUGAAUCAUCGAAUCUUUGAACGCAUAUUGCGCUCUCUGGUAUUCCGGAGAGCAUGCUUGUUUGAGUAUCAGUAAACACCUCAACUCCCCUUUCUUUUUUUGAAAUGGGAGCUGGACUUGAGUGAUCCCAACGCUUUUCUCACCGAAAAGUGGCGGGUUACUUGAAAUGCAGGUGCAGCUGGACUUUUCUCUGAGCUAAAAGCAUAUCUAUUUAGUCUGCCUAAAAAACAGAUUAUUACCUUUGCUGCAGCUAACAUAAAGGAGAUUAGUUCUUGUGCUGACUGAUGCAGGAUUCACAGAGACAGCUUCGGCUGGCCUUUGUAAACUCGAUCUCAAAUCAAGUAAGACUACCCGCUGAACUUAAGCAUAUCAAUAAGCGGAGGAAAAGAAACUAACAAGGAUUCCCCUAGUAACGGCGAGUGAAGCGGGAUGAGCUCAAAUUUAAAAUCUGGCUGGUUUACUAGUCCGAAUUUGUAGUUUAAAGAAGCGUUUUGGGUGGCAGCCUGGUAUAAAUCCUUUGGACAGGUAUCAUAGAGGUGAGAAUCCGUCUUUGACUCAGUGCAUGCUACUAUGUGAUACGUUUCAAGAGUCGAGUUGUUUGGGAAUGCAGCUCAAAUGGGUGGUGAUUCAUCUUAAGCUAUAUUGCGAGGACCGAUAGCGACAGUACCGUGAGGCAAGAUGAAGACUUGAGAGAGUAACUGCUGAAUUGUGAUGAAUGCUUGACCAGUCAUGCACGCAUCAGCUUUGACAGUGCAUGUGUGGCUCGACCAGGCGCGCUGU